This 295-nucleotide long non-coding RNA is filed under the name Musa acuminata (dwarf banana). Its description in RNAcentral is "long non-coding RNA (MACU_LNC001856)". The record is from RNAcentral. Lineage: Eukaryota; Viridiplantae; Streptophyta; Magnoliopsida; Zingiberales; Musaceae.
UAGUUUUUCAGUAAUUGUGUAUAUAAUAACAAGGAAGAAUGAAAUAAAAUAAACACAGCAUCAUUCUCCACUUCCUAAAGGAGCACGACACAAUGGCUGAUGCUACAAACUCCAUGAACAUGCGGUAAAAAUUAACAUGGACCGAUCAAAAUUGUCGGCUUAGUGUAUCUAUGAACUAUCCGAUCGAUUAAUGACACCGAGAUCCCGACGCGACUACAUGUCAAACAUGACGUUGGAAGAGGGUCCCCUUGCAAUGGCUUCUUUUGCCGACCAUGUGCCCAACCCUAAACCCGUG